This 440-nucleotide ribosomal RNA is filed under the name uncultured bacterium. RNAcentral describes it as "partial 16S ribosomal RNA". It matches the Rfam family "Bacterial small subunit ribosomal RNA", at positions 338 to 795 of the family's 1533-position model. The record is from RNAcentral.
CCUACGGGCGGCAGCAGUGGGGAAUAUUGCACAAUGGGGGAAACCCUGAUGCAGCGACGCCGCGUGAGUGAAGAAGGAAUUCGGGAUGUAAAGCUCUAUCAGCAGGGAAGAAAAAGACGGUACCUGAGGAAGAAGCCCCGGCGACCUACGUGACAGCAGCCGCGGUAAUACGGAGGGGGCAAGCGUUAUCCGGAUUUACUGGGUGUAAAGGGAGCGUAGACGUCAGUGCCAGUCUGGAGUGACAGGCGGGGGCUCAACCCCCGGACUGCUCUUGAAACUGUACGGCUGGAGUGCAGGAGAGGUGAGUGUAAUUCCUGGUGUAGCGGUGACAUGCUUAGAUAUUACGAGGAACUCCAGUGGCGAAGGCGGCUUACUGGACUGUAACUGACGUUGCGGCUCGAAAGCGUGGGGAGCAAACAGGAUUAGAUACCCCAGUAGUC